AUUGAACGCUGGCGGCAGGCCUAACACAUGCAAGUCGAACGGUAACAGGAAGCAGCUUGCUGCUUCGCUGACGAGUGGCGGACGGGUGAGUCAUGUCUGGGAAACUGCCUGAUGGAGGGGGAUAACUACUGGAAACGGUAGCUAAUACCGCAUAACGUCGCAAGACCAAAGAGGGGGACCUUAGGGCCUCUUGCCAUCGGCUGUGCCCAGAUGGGAUUAGCGAGUAGGUGGGGUAACGGCUCACCUAGGCGACGAUCCCUAGCUGGUCUGAGAGGAUGACCAGCCACACUGGAACUGAGACACGGUCCAGACUCCUACGGGAGGCAGCAGUGGGGAAUAUUGCACAAUGGGCGAAAGCCUGAUGCAGCCAUGCCGCGUGUAUGAAGAAGGCCUUCGGGUUGUAAAGUACUUUCAGCGGGGAGGAAGGGAGUAAAGUUAAUACCUUUGCUCAUUGACGUUACCCGCAGAAGAAGCACCGGCUAACUCCGUG
This 490-nucleotide ribosomal RNA is filed under the name uncultured bacterium. RNAcentral's name for it is "partial 16S ribosomal RNA". It matches the Rfam family "Bacterial small subunit ribosomal RNA", at positions 30 to 507 of the family's 1533-position model. The record is from RNAcentral.